UGGGGAAUCUUGCGCAAUGGGCGAAAGCCUGACGCAGCGACGCCGCGUGAGGGAAGAAGGCCUUCGGGUUGUAAACCUCUUUCAGGAGGGACGAAGCCACUCGGGUGAAUAGCCCAGAGGGUGACGGUACCUCCAGAAGAAGCCCCGGCUAACUACGUGCCAGCAGCCGCGGUAAUACGUAGGGGGCAAGCGUUGUCCGGAUUCAUUGGGCGUAAAGAGCGUGUAGGCGGGCCUGGGAAGGUCAGCUGUGAAAACUCGAGGCUCAACCUCGAGACGUCGGUUGAAACCACCUGGCUAGAGUCCGGAAGAGGAGUGUGGAAUUCCCGGUGUAGCGGUGAAAUGCGCAGAUAUCGGGAAGAACACCCGUGGCGAAGGCGGCACUCUGGGACGGUACUGACGCUGAGACGCGAAAGCGUGGGGAGCGAACAGGAUUAGAUACCCUGGUAGUCCACGCCGUAAACGAUGGGUGCUAGGUGUGGGAGGUGUCGACUCCUUCCGUGCCGAAGCUAACGCAUUAAGCACCCCGCCUGGGGA
This 534-nucleotide ribosomal RNA is filed under the name uncultured bacterium. Its description in RNAcentral is "bacterial SSU rRNA". It matches the Rfam family "Bacterial small subunit ribosomal RNA", at positions 355 to 879 of the family's 1533-position model. The record is from RNAcentral.